AUUGAACGCUGGCGGCAUGCUUUACACAUGCAAGUCGAACGGUAACAGGCCUUCGGGUGCUGACGAGUGGCGAACGGGUGCGUAAUGCAUCGGAACGUACCCAGAGGUGGGGGAUAACGCAGCGAAAGCUGUGCUAAUACCGCAUGUGAUCUGAGGAUGAAAGCGGGGGACCGAGCAGCAAUGUUUGGCCUCGCGCCUUUGGAGCGGCCGAUGUCGGAUUAGCUAGUUGGUGGGGUAAAGGCCUACCAAGGCGACGAUCCGUAGCUGGUCUGAGAGGACGACCAGCCACACUGGGACUGAGACACGGCCCAGACUCCUACGGGAGGCAGCAGUGGGGAAUUUUGGACAAUGGGCGCAAGCCUGAUCCAGCAAUGCCGCGUGCGGGAAGAAGGCCUUCGGGUUGUAAACCGCUUUUGGCAGGAACGAAACGGUGUCCGCUAAUAUCGGGCGCUAAUGACGGUACCUGCAGAAUAAGCACCGGCUAACUACGUG
Molecule: ribosomal RNA, 492 nt
Filed under: uncultured bacterium
Lineage: Bacteria
Description: partial 16S ribosomal RNA
Rfam family: Bacterial small subunit ribosomal RNA
Source: RNAcentral